This 1754-nucleotide long non-coding RNA is filed under the name Eutrema salsugineum. RNAcentral describes it as "long non-coding RNA (ESAL_LNC001739)". The record is from RNAcentral. Lineage: Eukaryota; Viridiplantae; Streptophyta; Magnoliopsida; Brassicales; Brassicaceae.
UUCUUGUUGCUGUAAAAGGUAUUGAUGAUGAGGAAGAGCAAUUGGUUGAUCUUGGCCUGGAAAGCUGAAAUUUCUACGUCUACUAUCAAGUUUUAGGAAACAUAUUUACACACAAAUAAAGGAAAAUAACUCUUUUUUCUUGAAUAUCAAAUUUUCAUCUUUAAAAGAGUCGAUGACUAUUUAUGUUGUAUUUGUAACAUCUCAACCCUGUAUCUUCUGAGAUAACCGGGAAUUAGGCAUGUUAAAUCGGUCAUCUAACCGCUUUUGGUCAGAUGCCAAAUUGUUCUAUUGGAACAGCAGGAAUGCCAAGAUCGAAAACGCCCGUAUAGCAACAAUAACAUUAAAUAUUAGAUCUAGUGUUAACCUGAAAGAGAAAAGAAGGGUUGAGUAAUUGAAUUACCCAGUGAGGUGAACCAUAGGAGGCCCAAUAUCACUUUCAACAAAAUAUGAAUUAAAGAUUAGGAAAGUUUAAUCCUAAAACAAGCUCAAACAGGAUUCAUUCAUAUAACUCUAAAUUAAAUAACUAACAAGAAAGCAUUCAACCAGUUUACUAAGUCUUUUUCCGUCAAUUCACUUUGUCGACUCAUCAUCAUGCUAACGAGGCACGGAAAACCACAUCCUACUGACAAAAUAGGGAAAACCACAUCAUGCUAACGAGGCAUAGAAAACUACAUCACUGACGAGGCAUGAUGAACCACCAUAUGUUCUUUAUUUCAGUUCUUCAAUUCAAAUACUUAAAUUCCCAAACAAGAGCAAAACGCUCUGCAGAGGAUGGAAUCCGAUCUAGCCUUCAUGUCUGGAUAGGGGGAUCGACUUGCCAUCCGUGAUAUGCUGACUCACAUAUGUCAUUUAUUUAGUCAUACAGACCUUGCAGAUCGCCUUAACCGCCAAGCAACGGUCACUGCUGGCCUUUUUGGCACCACACAGUUACCCCAGCAAGUAAUCUCUUACCACAGGAAAAUCCUGUGACGAUUACUUUACUCGAUCUAAUUCAAGUAAGACCGUUUGUUAAUCCCUAUCAAACAAACUUCCAUGUUCAAGACUCCAAACAAGACCAAACAUCUUAUGACAUCAACAUCAAUCAAUAAUUCUUUUCUUUAUCACUUUCCAACCCAAUUCUAGCAACCUAACUCAUCACAUAACAUCAACCAUAUCUCACAUCAUCAUCAUUAAUCAAUAUCAUCACAUCAGAUCAUACACAGUCAAUCCUAAAACACAACUAACAGUCAUAGUUUAAGAAAAGACUAAUCUACACCCUAACUCAUAUAAUGCAGGAGUUGGAUAAGAAAUGACUCUCACCUUUUCCUUUCUGAAUGUAGAUACAUUUUUCCACAUUUAUUCAUCUUCAAGCAGAUUUGACUCUUGACACAGAAACGUCUGUAACUCCUAACACCGAUCUCCGAUCUGCAUGAACUCGGUCUUCACAUAAAGCUGAGACUCGAGGCUUCAAUUUGAUAUGUAGAUACUCGUGUGGAUCUUCACGGUUCGCUAGAUAAUGGUCUUGAAAGUCAGUAGAGCGAAAAGGAGAGGAGGAGGCCGAGAUGGAAGAGAGAAGAAGAGAGAGGAAGAGAGGAGACACCGAGGAAGGAGGAUGGAGAGAGAGAGGGAGAGGGAGGUGUGGCAAGGAGAGGAGCAGCAGCGCGGCAUGGAGAGAAGAAGAAGAGAAGUCGCAGGGAGAGAUGGCCAGAUGGGAGGCUGAUGUCGUGAAAAGAAAGAGAAAAAUACGAUUUUCUGGAGAAAAGUGGGUUUAUAUA